UAGGGAAUCUUCCACAAUGGACGCAAGUCUGAUGGAGCAACGCCGCGUGAGUGAAGAAGGUUUUCGGACCGUAAAGCUCUGUUGUUGGUGAAGAAGGAUAGAGGUAGUAACUGGCCUUUAUUUGACGGUAAUCAACCAGAAAGUCACGGCUAACUACGUGCCAGCAGCCGCGGUAAUACGUAGGUGGCAAGCGCUGUCCGGAUUUAUUGGGCGUAAAGCGAGCGCAGGCGGAAGAAUAAGUCUGAUGUGAAAGCCCUCGGCUUAAACCG
RNAcentral lists this ribosomal RNA (269 nucleotides) under uncultured bacterium. RNAcentral describes it as "partial 16S ribosomal RNA". It matches the Rfam family "Bacterial small subunit ribosomal RNA", at positions 355 to 615 of the family's 1533-position model. The record is from RNAcentral.